RNAcentral lists this ribosomal RNA (549 nucleotides) under Colletotrichum kahawae. RNAcentral's name for it is "eukaryotic LSU rRNA". The stretch from base 192 to 345 matches the Rfam family "5.8S ribosomal RNA". The record is from RNAcentral. Lineage: Eukaryota; Fungi; Ascomycota; Sordariomycetes; Glomerellales; Glomerellaceae.
ACCUGCGGAGGGAUCAUUACUGAGUUUACGCUCUACAACCCUUUGUGAACAUACCUAUAACUGUUGCUUCGGCGGGCAGGGUCUCCGUGACCCUCCCGGCCUCCCGCCCCCGGGCGGGUCGGCGCCCGCCGGAGGAUAACCAAACUCUGAUUUAACGACGUUUCUUCUGAGUGGUACAAGCAAAUAAUCAAAACUUUUAACAACGGAUCUCUUGGUUCUGGCAUCGAUGAAGAACGCAGCGAAAUGCGAUAAGUAAUGUGAAUUGCAGAAUUCAGUGAAUCAUCGAAUCUUUGAACGCACAUUGCGCCCGCCAGCAUUCUGGCGGGCAUGCCUGUUCGAGCGUCAUUUCAACCCUCAAGCUCUGCUUGGUGUUGGGGCCCUACAGCUGAUGUAGGCCCUCAAAGGUAGUGGCGGACCCUCCCGGAGCCUCCUUUGCGUAGUAACUUUACGUCUCGCACUGGGAUCCGGAGGGACUCUUGCCGUAAAACCCCCAAUUUUCCAAAGGUUGACCUCGGAUCAGGUAGGAAUACCCGCUGAACUUAAGCAUAU